GAUGAUUUCGAGACGAAAGCUCAGUUUGAAGUGAAUGAAAACAUUGUUUCAUAAUUCCUGUGGAUAUUAGGACUCAAUUUUGCCACUGUUGCUCCGAUUUCACAAAUUCGUGUCGAAAGAAUGAAAGAUUGAUUUCAUAAUCUCUUGAACUUUGAGACGCCAUUUAUCUGUUAGGGCUCAAUUUCAUGCAUUCAAUCAAGCUAUAAAAAAGACAAUCUUUGCUCGAGCUUGAGAGCAGAGUCCACAAAAAGUUUAUGGCCUACCCUUUGCAAGCCUGCUGGGUAAAUCAGUGGAGAGAGGAAGAUUGAAGUAGAGCUUGGUUCGAAAUUUGCAGCAAGUGGUUCUCCCUUUACAAGCCUGAAGAAGGUUGACAUGGAAGGAGAUGCAGAAAAGAAGCAACAGAUGCCACCUGCUAGUGCCAUGACAAGGCUCAUUCUUAUCAUGAUUUCAAGGAAGCUAAUAAAAAUUCCAACACCUAAUCAAGCGUUUUGGGACUGAAGAGUUUGUUGUUGCAGUUUGGAAGAAGAGUUUGUAUGUUGAACGACCUCAUUCAUAUGCCAUAUAAAUUAUUAGAUCUCUCUCUUCUGAAAUUUCUUUCAUAUUGUAUGGUAAUGAUGUUUCUUGUAAAUCAAAAGCUUGUUUGAUCUUUCGAUGUAUUUACCCCAUGUGGAGAUGCUAAAUAAAUACAAAAGUUAUAUUUGAGGUGAGAAGGAGAGUUAUAGGGUGAUAAAGUUGAGGAAUUGGCAGUGGUCUGAGUGUAGGCGUAUUGCCGAACUUAGGUAGCAAACGUGAGUGCUGCCAUAUGUUGAACUUCAGGCAGUAGUAACGAUUGUUGUAAUAAACAGUAUGUUUGAUGGCAGACAUUUUUAGUUGCAUAGGUCAGUUUUUAUUACUUUUAGCAACAGAUAUAGUUGUUGCUAUAUCC
This is a long non-coding RNA of Cornus florida, 925 nucleotides long. RefSeq lists it as uncharacterized. The transcript is spliced from 2 exons. The record is from RefSeq and is a predicted model, not a curated record. NCBI's taxonomy places the organism in Eukaryota, Viridiplantae, Streptophyta, Magnoliopsida, Cornales, Cornaceae.